RNAcentral lists this ribosomal RNA (273 nucleotides) under uncultured prokaryote. RNAcentral describes it as "partial 16S ribosomal RNA". It matches the Rfam family "Bacterial small subunit ribosomal RNA", at positions 526 to 798 of the family's 1533-position model. The record is from RNAcentral.
CACGGGUUGCGAGCGUUCGUCCGGAAUUACUAGGCGUAAGGGCAGGCAGGCGGAUCCAUAAGUUUAUCGUUUAAGGCGUCGGCUUAACCGGCGUAGGGCGGUAGAUACUGUGGAUCUGGAAUGCGGUUGGGGAAGACAGAAUUCCUGGUGUAGCGGUGGAAUGCGCAGAGAUCAGGAGGAAUACCGAAGGCGAAGGCAGUCUUCCAAGCCGUUAUUGACGCUCAACUGCGAAGGUGUGGGUAUCAAACAGGAUUAGAUACCCUGGUAGUCCCU